AAAUUGAAGAGUUUGAUCAUGGCUCAGAUUGAACGCUGGCGGCAGGCCUAACACAUGCAAGUCGAGCGGUAGCACAGAGAGCUUGCUCUCGGGUGACGAGCGGCGGACGGGUGAGUAAUGUCUGGGAAACUGCCUGAUGGAGGGGGAUAACUACUGGAAACGGUAGCUAAUACCGCAUAACGUCGCAAGACCAAAGUGGGGGACCUUCGGGCCUCAUGCCAUCAGAUGUGCCCAGAUGGGAUUAGCUAGUAGGUGGGGUAACGGCUCACCUAGGCGACGAUCCCUAGCUGGUCUGAGAGGAUGACCAGCCACACUGGAACUGAGACACGGUCCAGACUCCUACGGGAGGCAGCAGUGGGGAAUAUUGCACAAUGGGCGCAAGCCUGAUGCAGCCAUGCCGCGUGUGUGUGUGAAGAAGGCCUUCGGGUUGUAAAGCACUUUCAGCGGGGAGGAAGGCGAUAAGGUUAAUAACCUUGUCGAUUGACGUUACCCGCAGAAGAAGCACCGGCUAACUCCGUGCCAGCAGCCGCGGUAAUACGGAGGGUGCAAGCGUUAAUCGGAAUUACUGGGCGUAAAGCGCACGCAGGCGGUCUGUCAAGUCGGAUGUGAAAUCCCCGGGCUCAACCUGGGAACUGCAUUCGAAACUGGCAGGCUAGAGUCUUGUAGAGGGGGGUAGAAUUCCAGGUGUAGCGGUGAAAUGCGUAGAGAUCUGGAGGAAUACCGGUGGCGAAGGCGGCCCCCUGGACAAAGACUGACGCUCAGGUGCGAAAGCGUGGGGAGCAAACAGGAUUAGAUACCCUGGUAGUCCACGCCGUAAACGAUGUCGAUUUGGAGGUUGUGCCCUUGAGGCGUGGCUUCCGGAGCUAACGCGUUAAAUCGACCGCCUGGGGAGUACGGCCGCAAGGUUAAAACUCAAAUGAAUUGACGGGGGCCCGCACAAGCGGUGGAGCAUGUGGUUUAAUUCGAUGCAACGCGAAGAACCUUACCUGGUCUUGACAUCCACAGAACUUUCCAGAGAUGGAUUGGUGCCUUCGGGAACUGUGAGACAGGUGCUGCAUGGCUGUCGUCAGCUCGUGUUGUGAAAUGUUGGGUUAAGUCCCGCAACGAGCGCAACCCUUAUCCUUUGUUGCCAGCGGUUCGGCCGGGAACUCAAAGGAGACUGCCAGUGAUAAACUGGAGGAAGGUGGGGAUGACGUCAAGUCAUCAUGGCCCUUACGACCAGGGCUACACACGUGCUACAAUGGCAUAUACAAAGAGAAGCGACCUCGCGAGAGCAAGCGGACCUCAUAAAGUAUGUCGUAGUCCGGAUUGGAGUCUGCAACUCGACUCCAUGAAGUCGGAAUCGCUAGUAAUCGUAGAUCAGAAUGCUACGGUGAAUACGUUCCCGGGCCUUGUACACACCGCCCGUCACACCAUGGGAGUGGGUUGCAAAAGAAGUAGGUAGCUUAACCUUCGGGAGGGCGCUUACCACUUUGUGAUUCAUGACUGGGGUGAAGUCGUAACAAGGUAACCGUAGGGGAACCUGCGGUUGGAUCACCUCCUUACCUUAAAGAA
RNAcentral lists this ribosomal RNA (1554 nucleotides) under Klebsiella pneumoniae. RNAcentral's name for it is "bacterial SSU rRNA". It matches the Rfam family "Bacterial small subunit ribosomal RNA". The record is from RNAcentral. Lineage: Bacteria; Pseudomonadati; Pseudomonadota; Gammaproteobacteria; Enterobacterales; Enterobacteriaceae.